UAUACAUUUUUGUCUUUUGAAUCAUUUUUCUAUCUUCUCUCCAAGCGGAGUUACAGGCAGCUGAAGUUUUGCAGGCGAGAGAGUGUGGUGGAGGGGGAGGGCGCAGGCAUUCUGCACUCUCCCCCUCUCCCACACUCUCUCGUGCCAAAAUCUUUAAAGUGGUCUAUCUCGACGGGGAGAAGCGAUAGAAACAUGGUUUAAAAGACAAAAAUGCUUAAAAUUU
This is a non-coding RNA of Caenorhabditis elegans, 223 nucleotides long. The record is from Ensembl. Lineage: Eukaryota; Metazoa; Nematoda; Chromadorea; Rhabditida; Rhabditidae.